CGCAACUUUCCUGCCCGCCGCCUCCUCCCCGGUGCAGUCGGGCUGCGCGGGGAGGCGGCACCGGCACCCGGCACCGCGGGUCUCUCCCGCAGUGCCAGCCUCUCGGAGAAGGAGCUGAAGGAGGCGAAGGCGCAGAGCCAGAGGAUCGCGGCUCAGCUCACCACGGCGCCCGGCCCCAGCUCCAAGGGUGUCCUGCUGUUCCACCGGCGCAGGCAGCGCGUUGAGGGGCUCACGGGGGCCGGGCAUGGCGGGGGGCUGCCCCUGAGCC
RNAcentral lists this long non-coding RNA (268 nucleotides) under Catharus ustulatus (Swainson's thrush). RNAcentral's name for it is "lncRNA (ENSCUSG00005011299.1)". The record is from RNAcentral. Lineage: Eukaryota; Metazoa; Chordata; Aves; Passeriformes; Turdidae.